GAGCCUGUCUGGGAUAACGAGAACUGCUAAUUCCUCGAAACCAUGGUUCAAUUCCAUGGCCCGCUCG
Molecule: transfer RNA, 67 nt
Filed under: Microhyla mixtura
Lineage: Eukaryota; Metazoa; Chordata; Amphibia; Anura; Microhylidae
Description: tRNA-Ser
Source: RNAcentral